GAUCCUGGCUCAGAAUCAACGCUGGCGGCGUGCCUAACACAUGCAAGUCGAACGCGAAAGCCCCGCAAGGGGUAAGUAGAGUGGCAAACGGGUGAGUAACACGUGGGUGACCUGCCUUCGAGUGGGGGAUAACGUCCCGAAAGGGACGCUAAUACCGCAUGACAUCCUGCUUUUGGAAAAGCGGAGAUCAAAGCUGGGGAUCGCAAGACCUGGCGCUUGAAGAGGGGCCCGCGCCUGAUUAGCUAGUUGGUAGGGUAACGGCCUACCAAGGCAACGAUCAGUAUCCGGCCUGAGAGGGCGGACGGACACACUGGGACUGAGACACGGCCCAGACUCCUACGGGAGGCAGCAGUGGGGAAUUGUUCGCAAUGGGCGCAAGCCUGACGACGCAACGCCGCGUGGAGGACGAAGAUCUUCGGGUCGUAAACUCCUGUCGAGUGGGAAGAAUGCUUCGGGGGUGAAUACCCUCCGGAAUUGACGGUACCACUAAAGGAAGCCCCGGCUAACUCCGUGCCAGCAGCCGCGGUAAUACGGGGGGGGCAAGCGUUGUUCGGAAUUACUGGGCGUAAAGGGCUCGUAGGCGGCCAACUAAGUCGGAUGUGAAAUCCCCAGGCUUAACCUGGGAACUGCAUCCGAUACUGGAUGGCUUGAAUCCGGGAGAGGGAUGCAGAAUUCCAGGUGUAGCGGUGA
This 690-nucleotide ribosomal RNA is filed under the name uncultured Acidobacteriota bacterium. RNAcentral's name for it is "bacterial SSU rRNA". It matches the Rfam family "Bacterial small subunit ribosomal RNA", at positions 15 to 684 of the family's 1533-position model. Lineage: Bacteria; Pseudomonadati; Acidobacteriota. The record is from RNAcentral.